Erpetoichthys calabaricus (reedfish) is the source of this 356-nucleotide long non-coding RNA. RefSeq lists it as uncharacterized. The record is from RefSeq and is a predicted model, not a curated record. Lineage: Eukaryota; Metazoa; Chordata; Cladistia; Polypteriformes; Polypteridae. The transcript is spliced from 3 exons.
CGUUUCCUCAGUCUUUUAAAUUGCCUUUACGAUGUGGCGGUGACUUUUCAUGCCGUGUCAUCAGUUUUCUCAAGUUGAUGACCAAACCAAAGCUACCUGCCUUAGGAAGAAUUGUAUUCACAUGAAGAUUUAUUUUUUAACAAGAAUCAGACACAGGCAAAAUUGUCUGUCAAGUCACAAUAGACCGGAGACAGUUCUAGCAGCAUUGGAUACAAGGAAGGAGCCAGGCUUGAGAGAAGCACAAGUUUAUUGCAAGUGACCUUUAUUCAUGCCAAACCAAUUUAGAGACAUCUGUUAACACAGUGUGGCAGAAAACCACAGUACAUAGAAAAGAAGCCAGGAGGACAUGAGGAAAA